UAGUAUUGAAUUAGAAGCGCGAACCAACCGAAAGUGGUUAAACCUAAAAACGUGAUACGGCCGGCCUGAGUUGUUCUGCAUCUGAUAUCGCAUCCGGCGUCGCCAUCCAGCCACACCGCUCCUGCUCCUUGCGUUGUUGUCGAACUUUCAGGUGUCAGAUUAGGAUUCGGAGUUGUACAGUGUUGAAUUUGUGAAAUUACUGGUUUUGCUCUUCAAUUGUUGUAUACCAAUGGAGCCUGCAAAAUUUGACCCAAGACACUCGGGAGAGCUGUUGAAGCAUAUGGAUAAGCAGAAUGAGGUCCUUAUGGAAGCAUACAGAUCAAUGUUGCAUCAAUUGCAAAAACUUCAGGUGGAAGAAGAGAUGCUUAUGCGCAAGCUUUACGAAGUUGUCCGUCCACGGUCUCAAUAAACAAGUUAAACGCUGUCGACUUUAUCUCAGAUUCUCAGUUGCCAACCUAUGUAUAUGAUAUUCCUGAAAUAUGUCCACAAACGUUUUGUGCAGUUUAAGUUUUGUGCAGAAUGAAGACAACUCCAACGCUUCCCAUGAUAGUGUUUGGAGCUGAACUGUUCAAUGAUAAAGUCAAUACAAGAAAAAAAGAUCAAGAUGGGUUAAUUUUCUCAUAGAUUUGGUUUAUGAGCAAAGUGUGUCAUAUGCUUAUAUUUAAUCUGUGAAGCAUGGGUACUCCAUUUUAGGUAAAGUACCGGUACCGGGUACCGGUACGCGUACGGUACUCACCCGGUACGCACCGAAGCCGUACCAAUUUUUUUAAUUUUAUUUUUAACUUGGUACACCAACCGGUACACAUUUGGUACCACGUACCCAACUUUUUAAGUUUUUGUUCAUACGAAUCUCCAUCUUCUCUCAGAGAAAGAGUAAGGUUUAUAAUGAAUGAGCAACAAAAAUGUGGGAUAUUAGUGGAGACGAAUGAGAUCUAUUUGAUGAAAUUGGUAUUCUUGAAA
Long non-coding RNA from Vicia villosa (hairy vetch), 960 nucleotides. RefSeq lists it as uncharacterized. The transcript has 5 exons. The record is from RefSeq and is a predicted model, not a curated record. Lineage: Eukaryota; Viridiplantae; Streptophyta; Magnoliopsida; Fabales; Fabaceae.